RNAcentral lists this long non-coding RNA (1002 nucleotides) under Rattus norvegicus (Norway rat). RNAcentral describes it as "long non-coding RNA NONRATT009387". The record is from RNAcentral. Lineage: Eukaryota; Metazoa; Chordata; Mammalia; Rodentia; Muridae.
AGGGCGAUGUCUGAAGGCCGCCCAGGGGCCCCAUCCCCUCACCUAGAUGUGGGCUAACCUAGGACCCAGACUAAGGUGGAGUUCCUACAAGUGACUAGAAUGUCAUGAUCAUCUCAUUGUCUAACAAGCCCUUUGUCCUCUGUGCUGGGAAGGCCUUAGCUGCUACUCAAAACUGACAAGUUGGACUCCUUUUUACUACUGCCUUGUUGCCAGCUAUCCGAGCGUGAAAGGCCGCAAAGCCGUGGGUGCUGGCUGUCCCACAUCACAGGCAUGGCAGGUGGCAGCCCAGACUGAACCAGAGCCUCACUUGAACAUGAGCAUUAGCCAAUGUAAUAAAAGUCUACCUUGCUUAAAGUGUAUCUGUUUUUCUGCUUACAAUGGCUUGCAAUGGAAGUGCAUGGUUUCCUGCUUCUAAUAAAAUCCUUUAAAAGCAAAAAAAAAAAAAAAAGAAAAGCAAAAACAGGCCAGACGGUGCUGUGAGCCACAUGAUAGGGUUUGCUGUUUCUGUUCUCCACUUAGGAAAGCAGGCACUAAAAGCAGGAAGGAGCACAGAGAUCUCUAUGUGGUGUUACAGGAUCCUGAGAGACUCGGCCAUGACAAAGAGGAAGCUGCUACAAGAGCCACUGAAGAAGGAGGUAAUGGUGGCCUAAACUAGAGGACAGCAAAGGAAAGUGGAAAAGCCCAAGUGUACACAGGUGUUAGACUCCAUAGUAUUUACAGACAGUGGUCAGGAUAUGAGCCAUGAGGACUAAAACAAUCUCACACAGCUUUUGAGAUCCUGCCUGAAUCACAGUUCACAAAGCUGACCCUUAACUGUUCUUAUAGUGACAGAAAACAGGGCAAGAAUACCAGGAAGUCCCUACCACGUGAAGUAGUAGUGCGUCCAUGCAGGGUUUACCUUGUCACUAUCUAUGAGAUAGAGGGCAUUAUACUAAACUAAAGGUUCCAGCUUCCCAUCUCCUCACAUCUCCUGUUCUUAGGGAAGAUUAAACAUGAUCCUUU